CCUUACACAUGCAAGUCGAACGGCAGCACGGGUGCUUGCACCUGGUGGCGAGUGGCGAACGGGUGAGUAAUACAUCGGAACGUACCUUAUCGUGGGGGAUAACGCAGCGAAAGUUGCGCUAAUACCGCAUACGCCCUGAGGGGGAAAGCGGGGGACCGUAAGGCCUCGCGCGAUUAGAGCGGCCGAUGUCUGAUUAGCUCGUUGGUGAGGUAAAAGCUCACCAAGGCGAUGAUCAGUAGCUGGUCUGAGAGGACGAUCAGCCACACUGGGACUGAGACACGGCCCAGACUCCUACGGGAGGCAGCAGUGGGGAAUUUUGGACAAUGGGGGCAACCCUGAUCCAGCAAUGCCGCGUGAGUGAAGAAGGCCUUCGGGUUGUAAAGCUCUUUUGUCAGGGAAGAAACAGCAGCUCUAACACAGUCUGCGAAUGACGGUACCUGAAGAAUAAGCACCGGCUAACUACGUGCCAGCAGCCGCGGUAAUACGUAGGGUGCGAGCGUUAAUCGGAAUUACUGGGCGUAAAGCGUGCGCAGGCGGUUAUACAAGACAGGCGUGAAAUCCCCGGGCUUAACCUGGGAAUGGCGUCUGUGACUGUAUAGCUAGAGUGUGUCAGAGGGGGGUGGAAUUCCACGUGUAGCAGUGAAAUGCGUAGAUAUGUGGAGGAACACCAAUGGCGAAGGCAGCCCCCUGGGAUAACACUGACGCUCAUGCACGAAAGCGUGGGUAGCAAACAGGAUUAGAUACCCUGGUAGUCCACGCCCUAAACGAUGCUGACUAGUUGUUGGGAAUUUACAUUCUCAGUAACGUAGCUAACGCGUGAAGUCAGCCGCCUGGGGAGUACGGUCGCAAGAUUAAAACUCAAAGGAAUUGACGGGGACCCGCACAAGCGGUGGAUGAUGUGGAUUAAUUCGAUGCAACGCGAAAAACCUUACCUACCCUUGACAUGUCACUAACGAAGUAGAGAUACAUUAGGUGCCCGUAAGGGAAAGUGAACACAGGUGC
This 1002-nucleotide ribosomal RNA is filed under the name uncultured bacterium. RNAcentral's name for it is "bacterial SSU rRNA". It matches the Rfam family "Bacterial small subunit ribosomal RNA", at positions 47 to 1041 of the family's 1533-position model. The record is from RNAcentral.